UGGGGAAUUUUGGACAAUGGGGGAAACCCUGAUCCAGCCAUCCCGCGUGUGCGAUGAAGGCCUUCGGGUUGUAAAGCACUUUUGGCAGGAAAGAAACGUCAUGGGUUAAUACCCCGUGAAACUGACGGUACCUGCAGAAUAAGCACCGGCUAACUACGUGCCAGCAGCCGCGGUAAUACGUAGGGUGCAAGCGUUAAUCGGAAUUACUGGGCGUAAAGCGUGCGCAGGCGGUUCGGAAAGAAAGAUGUGAAAUCCCAGAGCUCAACUUUGGAACUGCAUUUUUAACUACCGGGCUAGAGUGUGUCAGAGGGAGGUGGAAUUCCGCGUGUAGCAGUGAAAUGCGUAGAUAUGCGGAGGAACACCGAUGGCGAAGGCAGCCUCCUGGGAUAACACUGACGCUCAUGCGCGAAAGCGUAGGGAGCAAACAGG
Molecule: ribosomal RNA, 429 nt
Filed under: Acidobacteriota bacterium
Lineage: Bacteria; Pseudomonadati; Acidobacteriota
Description: Acidobacteria bacterium partial 16S ribosomal RNA
Rfam family: Bacterial small subunit ribosomal RNA
Source: RNAcentral